GCCUAGCCCUGAUUGCAGUGGCAUCCUUUUUUGAUUUUUCUUCAAAAAAGAUAUAACGGAAAGCAGGUAUUAGC
Molecule: small RNA, 74 nt
Filed under: Algibacter luteus
Lineage: Bacteria; Pseudomonadati; Bacteroidota; Flavobacteriia; Flavobacteriales; Flavobacteriaceae
Description: Arenitalea lutea Flavo-1 RNA
Rfam family: Flavo-1 RNA
Source: Rfam by way of RNAcentral